RNAcentral lists this ribosomal RNA (460 nucleotides) under uncultured bacterium. RNAcentral's name for it is "partial 16S ribosomal RNA". It matches the Rfam family "Bacterial small subunit ribosomal RNA", at positions 338 to 795 of the family's 1533-position model. The record is from RNAcentral.
CCUACGGGAGGCAGCAGUGAGGAAUAUUGGUCAAUGGACGAGAGUCUGAACCAGCCAAGUAGCGUGAAGGAUGACUGCCCUAUGGGUUGUAAACUUCUUUUAUAUGGGAAUAAAACGUUCCACGUGUGGGAUUUUGUAUGUACCAUAUGAAUAAGGAUCGGCUAACUCCGUGCCAGCAGCCGCGGUAAUACGGAGGAUCCGAGCGUUAUCCGGAUUUAUUGGGUUUAAAGGGAGCGUAGGUGGAUUGUUAAGUCAGUUGUGAAAGUUUGCGGCUCAACCGUAAAAUUGCAGUGGAAACUGGCAGUCUUGAGUACAGUAGAGGUGGGCGGAAUUCGUGGUGUAGCGGUGAAAUGCUUAGAUAUCACGAAGAACUCCGAUUGCGAAGGCAGUUCACUGGACUGCAACUGACACUGAGGCUCGAAAGUGUGGGUAUCAAACAGGAUUAGAUACCCGUGUAGUC